This is a long non-coding RNA of Gadus macrocephalus (Pacific cod), 561 nucleotides long. RefSeq lists it as uncharacterized. NCBI's taxonomy places the organism in Eukaryota, Metazoa, Chordata, Actinopteri, Gadiformes, Gadidae. The transcript is spliced from 2 exons. The record is from RefSeq and is a predicted model, not a curated record.
GCACUGACCUGCUAGCCCCAGCACUGACCUGCUAGCCCCAGCACUGACCUGCUAGCCCCAGCACUGACCUGCUAGCCCCAGCACUGACCUGCUAGCCCCAGCACUGACCUGCUAGCCUCAGCACUGACCUGCUAGCCCCAGCACUGACCUGCUAGCCAUAUAACAGAUCUUCCCAUUGCACUUCUCUGUUAGCAUUAACACUGAUCUGAAAGCCAUAGUAAUCGACUGCUAGCCAAACACCUGCAGCCUUAGCAUUGAGUCUCAAUACCAGUCUGCUAGAAUGUGUAUUUGUUGUAGCAGACUCAGGGUUUAUGGGAGGGCGUUCUGCUUGAUGUGCUACCGUGUAUGUUUAUCACAUGUAGAGCAUGUGCUUGGUGCUGCUCAGAGCUAGUGAAAAUAAAGUAAUGUUAUAAAGUCAUUCUACUGUUAUAAAGUCAUUCUACUGUUAUAAAGUCAUGUUAUAAAGUCAUUCUACUGUUAUAAAGUCAUUAUCAAGUCAUUCUACUGUUAUGAAGUCAUGUUAUAAAGUCAUUCUACUGUAAUAAAGUCAUGUUAUAGUCA